GAUGAAGAACGCAGCGAAAUGCGAUAAGUAAUGUGAAUUGCAGAAUUCAGUGAAUCAUCGAAUCUUUAAACGCACAUUGCGCCCCUUGGUAUUCCGAGGGGCAUGCCUGUUCGAGCGUCAUUAUAACCCCUCAAGCUCAGCUUGGUGUUGGGGCCUGCCGCACGGGCAGCCCUUAAAAUCAGUGGCGGUGCCAUCUGGCUCUAAGCGUAGUAAUUCUUCUCGCUAUAGAGUCCCGGUGGAUGCUUGCCAUUAACCCCCAAUUUUCUAUGGUUGACCUCGGAUCAGGUAGGGAUACCCGCUGAACUUAAGCAUAUCAAUAAGCGGAGGA
This 328-nucleotide unclassified non-coding RNA is filed under the name soil metagenome. RNAcentral's name for it is "partial contains 5.8S ribosomal RNA, internal transcribed spacer 2, and large subunit ribosomal RNA". The stretch from base 1 to 120 matches the Rfam family "5.8S ribosomal RNA", at positions 35 to 154 of the family's 154-position model. The record is from RNAcentral.